AGUGAACGCUGGCGGUAGGCCUAACACAUGCAAGUCGAACGACAGCACAGUAAGAGCUUGCUCUUACGGGUGGCGAGUGGCGGACGGGUGAGGAAUACAUCGGAAUCUACUUUUUCGUGGGGGAUAACGUAGGGAAACUUACGCUAAUACCGCAUACGACCUACGGGUGAAAGCAGGGGAUCUUCGGACCUUGCGCGAUUGAAUGAGCCGAUGUCGGAUUAGCUAGUUGGCGGGGUAAAGGCCCACCAAGGCGACGAUCCGUAGCUGGUCUGAGAGGAUGAUCAGCCACACUGGAACUGAGACACGGUCCAGACUCCUACGGGAGGCAGCAGUGGGGAAUAUUGGACAAAGGGCGCAAGCCUGAUCCAGCCAUACCGCGUGGGUGAAGAAGGCCUUCGGGUUGUAAAGCCCUUUUGUUGGGAAAGAAAAGCAGCAGGUUAAUACCCCGCUGUUCUGACGGUACCCAAAGAAUAAGCACCGGCUAACUUCGUG
Molecule: ribosomal RNA, 492 nt
Filed under: uncultured bacterium
Lineage: Bacteria
Description: partial 16S ribosomal RNA
Rfam family: Bacterial small subunit ribosomal RNA
Source: RNAcentral